UCUGAAAUUGAACGCUCAAAUUAUAAAAGGAGCUUGUAAGACUAAAACGUGGGGUAGUAUCUGAACACUCUUAUGUCAAUGUCAAAAGAGGUAAUACUAGCCUAACCUAUGUGUGUGCACAAUAACAAUUCUUCAUUAUUAAAUAAUAAACAAAAUGUUGAACAAUAUUGUAGCAAGAACUUUAGUACAUUCUAACACUAGAAACUUCAAAAACUUUGGCCAUAAGAGACAGCCUAUACCUGGAGUAACAACGCUUUGGCAUGGAUUCUUAACUUUUACGUUUAUCGGACUUGCAGUCGAAUGGAAAAGAAUAGCAAGAUUUAUGCUAGGUGAUGAUGAUGUGACAAUAUCAUGGGAUCCUACAGACCCUGUCCCAAAGGAAUAAUAGGUAAACUUUAAAUAAUUUAAAUAUAAUUUGUACAAAGCCAUGUAUUUUACAUGUAGUUUUUAAUGAUGGUACAUUGUUGUGUAGUUAAUAAUGUAUUUUUAAAUAAAACUUGUUCUUGGAAG
Cydia splendana is the source of this 510-nucleotide long non-coding RNA. RefSeq lists it as uncharacterized. Lineage: Eukaryota; Metazoa; Arthropoda; Insecta; Lepidoptera; Tortricidae. The transcript is spliced from 2 exons. The record is from RefSeq and is a predicted model, not a curated record.